This 637-nucleotide ribosomal RNA is filed under the name uncultured fungus. Its description in RNAcentral is "eukaryotic LSU rRNA". The stretch from base 194 to 347 matches the Rfam family "5.8S ribosomal RNA". The record is from RNAcentral. Lineage: Eukaryota; Fungi.
AAGUCGUAACAAGGUUUCCGUAGGUGAACCUGCGGAAGGAUCAUUCAUAAUAAGUGUUUUAUGGCACUUUUUAAAUCCAUAUCCACCUUGUGUGCAAUGUCAGUUGAUCUUCUUUAUGGAGAUCGACCAAACAUCAACCUAAUUUUUUAACUCUUUGUCUGAAAAAUAUUAUGAAUAAAAUAAUUCAAAAUACAACUUUCAACAACGGAUCUCUUGGCUCUCGCAUCGAUGAAGUACGCAGCGAAAUGCGAUACGUAAUGUGAAUUGCAGAAUUCAGUGAAUCAUCGAAUCUUUGAACGCAUAUUGCGCUCUUUGGUAUUCCGAAGAGCAUGCUUGUUUGAGUAUCAGUAAACACCUCAAAGCUUUUGAUUUUUUUUAAAAGUUUUGGACUUGAGCAAUCCCAACACCAGUCUUUUUUAGAUCGGUGGCGGGUUGCUUGAAAUGCAGGUGCAGCUGGACAUUCUUCUGAGCUAAAAGCAUAUUUAUUUAGUCCCGUCAAACGGAUUAUUACUUUUGCUGCAGCUAAUAUAAAGGGAGUUUGACCGUAUUGGCUGACUGAUGCAGGAUUUCACAAGGGUCGGCAACGAUUCUUGUAAAACUCGAUCUCAAAUCAAGUAAGACUACCCGCUGAACUUAA